GAACAGAUCUGGACUGGCUCGCAUUGUCGACGUGCAUCCUCUACAGACUUCCUUCGUGGUCUGUGAAUUAGUUAUCUACGUCAAAGUUGAGGAUCCAGCUGUGCUCGGAGAUGCAGCUGCACUACCCGCAGCUGGCUGAAGACGUGGCGCAUCUCAAGAAGCUGAUUGAGGACCUCAGGAGAUUGCAGCAAGCAGAAGCUGCAGGCAGCUCUGCUCAACCAGAUGAUUCCGAUCGGAACAGAUCUGGACUGGCUCGCAUUGUCGACGUGCAUCCUCUAAGAACUUCCUUUUUGGUCCCUGAAUUAGUUAUCUACGUCAAAGUUCGUAAGUAACUGAACCGAG
This is a long non-coding RNA of Dermacentor silvarum, 342 nucleotides long. RefSeq lists it as uncharacterized. Lineage: Eukaryota; Metazoa; Arthropoda; Arachnida; Ixodida; Ixodidae. The transcript is spliced from 3 exons. The record is from RefSeq and is a predicted model, not a curated record.